AUGGAAGUAUUUGACCUUAUUUAGUUUAUUCAGGUUUUAAGAGUUUAAGAUCUUCUACAUCCUUUGAGUCAUGAAAUUUGUUCUUCUGUCUAAAUUGAAUAAUUCCUUACAAAAGAAAGCAUAUUUAGGUAUAGAAUUAGAUAUAUAUGUAUGCAAUAAUAAUAAUAAUAAUAAUAAAAUACUCUGCUGAUCACUCAAUUUUACACCACCAAGGGGCAUAGCUUAGCGGUUUGACGCUAUGCUAGCUUAACCAGAGGUCUCCAAUUUGAGCCUUGGGAAAGCAGCUGCCUUUGGUAGGGAGAGCUUACUCCUUAGUGGACCAAUUUGGCUCAAAGAAUAAAAUGUUGAUGAUGAGUAAAGCUAGUAAAAAAAAUACUCUUCUAAUCACUCAAUUUUACACCACUAAAGGGCAUAGCUUAGCAGCUCGACACUAUACUGCCUAACUAAAGGUCUCAUUUUGAGCCCUGUGAACUCAGUUGCAUUUGGUAGGGAGGGUUUACUCCUUAGUGGACCGAUGUAGUUCCAAAAAUAAAAUGUUGAUUAUGAGUAGAGCUAGUGGCCAUUCAGAUGUGUGAUCAAUUGAGUAACCGGGGCUGGCAUCACCAAUGUUUGCUCUCGCGUAAAAAAGUCGAUUGACAUUAUGAACAACUAAUAAGGUGCUUUAAAAAAAAUUAAAAAAUAAAGUUGUAUGUAUGCCUACUCCUUUGUCAACUGAGCUUGAGUAUGUUUUGGAUUAUAAAGUUUGGAUACUACGAAUGAUUGAACAACUCAUAGAAUGUUUUGAAUACUUAAUUUAUAAGAAUAAGAUCAAACUGGAUGGGGUCUAUCUUCUAAAGUUAUUGAAUUAUCUUAUAUAGAUGAUUGUGCCUUUUUACAUAUUAUUUUGUGUUAUCUUAAGGUAAUAUAGUUUUGAUGAGGAGGAUUUCAUUAAUGUUUUUGCUGUGGAAUGGAUUUAAGAUUGCUUGAGGACAAAUAAAAACUCAAGUGUGGGGGAGUUGAUAUAAUU
This 1006-nucleotide long non-coding RNA is filed under the name Carica papaya (papaya). RNAcentral describes it as "long non-coding RNA (CPAP_LNC016642)". The record is from RNAcentral. Lineage: Eukaryota; Viridiplantae; Streptophyta; Magnoliopsida; Brassicales; Caricaceae.